Non-coding RNA from Ixodes scapularis (black-legged tick), 74 nucleotides. NCBI's taxonomy places the organism in Eukaryota, Metazoa, Arthropoda, Arachnida, Ixodida, Ixodidae. The record is from Rfam.
GCCGGGAUGGUCUAAUCGUUUAAGGCGUCGCCCCGGACAAGCGAAGGUUGCGGGUUCAAUCCCUGCUCCUGGCC